This 826-nucleotide ribosomal RNA is filed under the name uncultured Bacteroidota bacterium. RNAcentral describes it as "bacterial SSU rRNA". It matches the Rfam family "Bacterial small subunit ribosomal RNA", at positions 60 to 893 of the family's 1533-position model. Lineage: Bacteria; Pseudomonadati; Bacteroidota. The record is from RNAcentral.
AGUCGGGCGGUAACAGGCCUUCGGGUGCUGACGAGCGGCGGACGGGUGAGUAAUGCUUGGGAACUUGCCUUUCGGAGGGGGAUAACCAUUGGAAACGAUGGCUAAUACCGCAUAACGUCUACGGACCAAAGUGGGGGAUCUUCGGACCUCACACCGAGAGAUAGGCCCAAGUGAGAUUAGCUAGUUGGUGGGGUAAAGGCUCACCAAGGCGACGAUCUCUAGCUGUUCUGAGAGGAUGAUCCCCCACACUGGUACUGAGACACGGACCAGACUCCUACGGGAGGCAGCAGUGAGGAAUAUUGGACAAUGGGCGCAAGCCUGAUCCAGCCAUGCCGCGUGCAGGAUGACGGUCCUAUGGAUUGUAAACUGCUUUUGCACAGGAAGAAACAACUCUACGUGUAGAGUCUUGACGGUACUGUGAGAAUAAGGAUCGGCUAACUCCGUGCCAGCAGCCGCGGUAAUACGGAGGAUCCAAGCGUUAUCCGGAAUCAUUGGGUUUAAAGGGUCCGUAGGCGGUUUAGUAAGUCAGUGGUGAAAGCCCAUCGCUCAACGGUGGAACGGCCAUUGAUACUGCUAAACUUGAAUUAUUAGGAAGUAACUAGAAUAUGUAGUGUAGCGGUGAAAUGCUUAGAGAUUACAUGGAAUACCAAUUGCGAAGGCAGGUUACUACUAAUGGAUUGACGCUGAUGGACGAAAGCGUGGGUAGCGAACAGGAUUAGAUACCCUGGUAGUCCACGCCGUAAACGAUGGAUACUAGCUGUUGGGAGCAAUCUCAGUGGCUAAGCGAAAGUGAUAAGUAUCCCACCUGGGGAGUACGUUCGCAAGA